RNAcentral lists this ribosomal RNA (253 nucleotides) under uncultured bacterium. RNAcentral describes it as "partial 16S ribosomal RNA". It matches the Rfam family "Bacterial small subunit ribosomal RNA", at positions 524 to 776 of the family's 1533-position model. The record is from RNAcentral.
UACGUAGGUGGCAAGCGUUGUCCGGAUUUAUUGGGUUUAAAGGGUGCGUAGGCGGCUUAUUAAGUCAGUGGUGAAAUACUCUAGCUCAACUUGAGGGGUGCCAUUGAUACUGAUGAGCUUGAGUACAGAUGAGGUAGGCGGAAUUGACGGUGUAGCGGUGAAAUGCUUAGAUAUCGUCAAGAACACCUAUAGCGAAGGCAGCUUACUAGGCUGUAACUGACGCUGAGGCACGAAAGUGUGAGGAUCAAACAGG